RNAcentral lists this long non-coding RNA (2093 nucleotides) under Homo sapiens (human). RNAcentral's name for it is "HSALNT0312434". Lineage: Eukaryota; Metazoa; Chordata; Mammalia; Primates; Hominidae. The record is from RNAcentral.
ACACGUAAAAGGAGCUCAUUCGGAGGCAGGGGCACGCGCUUGUCCCCAGAACUCAAACCCCAGAGUCCCUCCGGCAGAUGAGAGUGGAGGUUGUAAAUCACCCUCCAUGCAAUGGUUCAUCAUAAAGGAUAUGGAGCAAAAUUAGAGGAGGCACGAGAAGGAAAGCCGGUGAUGAACAAGGAAAGUGCCUGGUUGAAGCUAGCUUGCAAUCCCAAAGUCAGAAGGUUGCCUGGGAAGCCAUGAAACAAAGCCAAAUCAAGGCAAAGCAGACACAUGGAGAUUUUGAGACUGAGAAGAGGAAAACUGAGGACAUUCAUGUGAGAUGGUUUCAAGUUUCCCUUAGAAGGAGAAGUUAUCUUCAGAAGGUCAGGUUGGUGAGGUGGGAGUUCAAAAACAACAAAGUAUGUAGCUACCAUUGUGAGGAAGACCAUGGAAAAUGGACGAAUCAGAAUGAAAGGCUUUCUGAACAAGAGGGAGUUUCCCUGCACAAGCUCCCUCCUGCCUGCUGCCAUGUGAGACCUGCGUUUUGCCUUCCACCAUGACUGUGAGGCCUCUUCCCCGGCCAUGUGGAACUCCCAGAGACAGAAGCAGAUAAUGCAAGUGUCAUCUACAUCUGGCAAAAGCCAAAGGUUUGGAAGAUGGAAAAAGGAAUCCAGGCAAAAAGGAGCCCAAGAUUGAAGUGAAUGACCAGGUGCACCAGUUCAAAUGCAAUCAGGAGGGACAGGGGUAGAGGGAGAAGCCUAGAGCAGCGCUUCUCAAACUGACUAUUCAAGUCACCUGGAGAUCUUGGUGAAAUGCAGACUCUGGUGCAGUAGGUCCUGGCGGGAACUUGAAAUUCUGCAUUUUGACCAAGGUCCAAGGUGAAUGUCCAGUGCUGUUGUCCUUGGCCUGCAGCAGGAGGAGCAGGGAUCUAAGACUUGGAGAGCAAAUGUCAAGCUCAGAAGAAAGACUGGAAGUUUGGGGACAAAACCCAAAUAUGGCUAAAGAAAGCCUGUAGGAUGAAGUUGGAAGUUCCAGAGCCUUCUCUUCACAUAAUGGGACAUGCAAGGGGGAAACCAAAUCAAAAGUGUAGAAUGCGUCGCUGGAUGUCUUUGACAUGUUAUUGUUCUGAUAGAAUAUCAGCGGGGAGCUACUGAGGACCUCCUCACUACCCUCCCUUGGAAGAGUUUGUCUGCAAUGGAGCCAACACAGUGGAAAGCAGAGCUGAGAAAUGGACAAACAACUCCUGAUGCCUCAUUUGAGCACCUGGAUUUAGCCAUGUCUGAAGCUAUUAAUCUUCCCCACCAAGUUAGAACCUGUGUCAUGUUCCUCUGAACUGUGUUUGUCCCCUUCGGGGGACCCCACAUGCUACGGACACCUGAUGAUUCGACCUGUUCACCAUCCCUUCAGCCCUGAACUGGCAACAGUAUCCUCAUUAUUCAUGAGAAAACGAUUCCUCCUCCCUUCCCAGACCAUGAGGAUUGAGUGGAAUUCACUCCAUCCUUCUCAGCUCCCUGACUGAACCAGCCCCUGUGGGAAGAGAAAGCCCCCAGGCUGAGAAUCAACUGAGCUGCAUUGAGGAGCCCCAGGUGUGUGUCCAGGAAUGCCAAGUGCAGAAGGGCUAUGCACGGGGCACCAUCAUGACCUGCUGCAGAGACCGUCCCUGAGAACAGAGGAGCAGAGAGAGAGAAGAGCAAGAGAUGGGCAAGGACAGAGUCACAAUCCCAGUGUCUGGCCCCUGCCUCCGGCCUUGUCUCAGCUAGCUCUGUCACUGGACUUUCAUUUGUCUGGGACCAAUAUCUCUCUUCCUUCCUAAAGAUGACUGCAGACUGGUUUCUGCCCUGUGUAAUGAAAAGAUCAUGAUGUGCACAGCUUUUUACCCCAUCUUAAGAAUAUUUGAGCACUUAUCUCCAUAGAGGGCAGAAUCUGUAAUGAAUUUACUUUUCAGUCCUCCAUAACACCUGUCGCAAGGUUUGUACAGUUUUCAAGAAAUACUGGGUAGAUGAAUGAAUGGAUACUGAAAAGACCCACUAAAAUUUAAUGCAAAUCUGUAACAACAGAUGCCCAUUUAAGGCACAUGGCAGAGGGCAAGGUGGCAUAGGGAGAAAGCAGUU